CGUAAUUUAGGCAUAUUACUAAGCGGAGGAAAAGAAACUAACAAGGAUUCCCUCAGUAGCGGCGAGCGAACAGGGAAGAGCCCAGCGCCGAAUCCCACGGUCUGACGGCCGUAGGGAAGUGUGGCGUUUAGGGAGGUCCACUGUCCCGGCGCCCGGCGGCGCGUCCAAGUCCAUCUUGAAUGGGGCCACUGCCCGCAGAGGGUGACAGGCCCGUAGGACCGCCGCCGGCUUCGGGAGGAUCUUCCCUUAGAGUCGGGUUGCUUGAGAGUGCAGCCCUAAGUUGGUGGUAAACUCCAUCUAAGGCUAAAUAUGACCACGAGACCGAUAGCGAACAAGUACCGUGAGGGAAAGUUGAAAAGAACUUUGAAGAGAGAGUUAAAGAGUACGUGAAACCGUUCAGGGGUAAACGCGAGGAGCCCUAAACUGUCGAGCGGGGAGAUUCACGCCCGACGUUCCCCGGCCGCCUUUCCUCCAGAUGGGAUCGGCCGCCCGGGCGGAGCAAUCCGCGCCGGUGUCGUGUCCGAUGCAUCCACUCGGAGGGGAAGCGCGCGCGGGGGAUUGCGGGCUGCACUUCUCCCCCCGUAGACGCCACGACCCGUUGGGUGUCGGCCGAAGGCCCGGAGCGGCAGACCGGGAGGUCGGCGGCGGUCAAACGCCGUCGCUCCGACCGGACGCCCGGCGUCCGGGCCGACCGCCCGACGGAAUGAGACGAGGAGCAGAUUCGCCUCCGCAGGAGGCGUCCGGGCUCCGGGCAAGCGUCCGGCGGGCCGGCGGAAGGCGGUACUCUGUGCCCGGCUUCCGCGCCGCCGCGCUGUUGGCCCGGAGAUUUCCUCGGACGGAACAAUAAAAAUCUCUCCGGUCUGUGGCGCGUGUGCUUUGGGCCUCCUCGCGACCCGUCUUGAAACACGGACCAAGGAGUCUAACAUGUGCGCGAGUCAUUGGGCGUGACCAAACCCAAAGGCGCAAUUAACGUGAAGGCCUCGCCCCGCGCGGGCCGAGGGAGGAAGGAUGUUCGCGCGCGGCCUCGCGCCCGCCGUUCGCCUGCACUCCCGGGGCGUCGCUUCCCCUCAUUGCGAGGGUCGGCGCACCCAGAGCGUACACGUUGGGACCCGAAAGAUGGUGAACUAUGCCUGGCCAGGACGAAGUCAGGGGAAACCCUGAUGGAGGUCCGCAGCGAUUCUGACGUGCAAAUCGAUCGUCGGAGCUGGGUAUAGGGGCGAAAGACUAAUCGAACUAUCUAGUAGCUGGUUCCCUCCGAAGUUUCCCUCAGGAUAGCUGGCGCUCUGCCGAGUCUCAUCCGGUAAAGCGAAUGAUUAGAGGCCUUGGGGCCGAAACGACCUCAACCUAUUCUCAAACUUUAAAUGGGUGCGAUCCCCGGCUUGCUUGACUGAAGCCGGGGGAAGAAUCGGAUCCGAGUGCCAAGUGGGCCACUUUUGGUAAGCAGAACUGGCGCUGUGGGAUGAACCAAACGCCGAGUUAAGGCGCCUAAAACGACGCUCAUGGGAAACCAUGAAAGGCGUUGGUUGCUUAAGACAGCAGGACGGUGGCCAUGGAAGUCGGAAUCCGCUAAGGAGUGUGUAACAACUCACCUGCCGAAGCAACUAGCCCUGAAAAUGGAUGGCGCUGAAGCGUCGUGCCUAUACUCGGCCGUCAGCGGCAACAACGGCGCCGCCGGUCCCCUCGCGGGGCCCGCGGGCCGCAGCAAGCCCUGACGAGUAGGAGGGUCGCGGCGGUGAGCGCAGAAGGGUCUGGGCGCGAGCCUGCCUGGAGCCGCCGCCGGUGCAGAUCUUGGUGGUAGUAGCAAAUACUCCAGCGAGGCCCUGGAGGACUGACGCGGAGAAGGGUUUCGUGUGAACAGCCGUUGCACACGAGUCAGUCGAUCCUAAGCCCUAUGAGAAAUCUGAUGCCGAUGGGGGCCGAUAUGAAUGCACGAAGUCAAAAGCUUUUGCCAAGAGAGUGCAGGCCCCCGAAGGGCGAAAGGGAAUCCGGUUCCUAUUCCGGAACCCGGCAGCGGAACCGUUUCAUGUCGGGCCCGCUCGAAAGAGCGACUCGUCGGGGUAACCCAAAGAGACCCGGAGACGCCGACGGGAGAUCGGGGAAGAGUUUUCUUUUCUGCAUGAGCGUUCGAGUUCCCUGGAAUCCUCUAGCAGGGAGAUAGGGUUUGGAACGCGAAGAGCACCGCAGUUGCGGCGGUGUCCCGAUCUUCCCCUCGGACCUUGAAAAUCCGGGAGAGGGCCACGUGGAGGUUCGCGCCGGUUCGUACCCAUAUCCGCAGCAGGUCUCCAAG
RNAcentral lists this ribosomal RNA (2287 nucleotides) under Mirhipipteryx andensis. Its description in RNAcentral is "eukaryotic LSU rRNA". It matches the Rfam family "Eukaryotic large subunit ribosomal RNA", at positions 28 to 1871 of the family's 3401-position model. Lineage: Eukaryota; Metazoa; Arthropoda; Insecta; Orthoptera; Ripipterygidae. The record is from RNAcentral.